CUUUUAUAGGAUAGAAGUAAUCCGUUGGUCUUAGGAACCAAAAAAUUGGUGCAACUCCAGAU
RNAcentral lists this transfer RNA (62 nucleotides) under Canis lupus familiaris (dog). RNAcentral's name for it is "tRNA-Leu". Lineage: Eukaryota; Metazoa; Chordata; Mammalia; Carnivora; Canidae. The record is from RNAcentral.